AGAGUUUGAUCCUGGCUCAGAUUGAACGCUGGCGGCGUGCUUAACACAUGCAAGUCGAACGUGAAAGUCCUUCGGGGCGAGUAAAGUGGCGCACGGGUGAGUAACGCGUGGAUAAUCUACCCUUAAGAUGGGGAUAACGGCUGGAAACGGUCGCUAAUACCGAAUACGCUCCCGAUUUUAUCAUUGGGGGGAAAGAUGGCCUCUGCUUGCAAGCUAUCGCUUAAGGAUGAGUCCGCGUCCCAUUAGCUAGUUGGCGGGGUAACGGCCCACCAAGGCAACGAUGGGUAGCCGGUCUGAGAGGAUGACCGGCCACACUGGAACUGGAACACGGUCCAGACUCCUACGGGAGGCAGCAGUGGGGAAUAUUGCGCAAUGGGCGAAAGCCUGACGCAGCGACGCCGCGUGAGGGAUGAAGGUUCUCGGAUCGUAAACCUCUGUCAGGGGGGAAGAAACCCCCUCGUGUGAAUAAUGCGAGGGCUUGACGGUACCCCCAAAGGAAGCGCCGGCUAACUCCGUGCCAGCAGCCGCGGUAAUACGGAGGGUGCAAGCGUUAAUCGGAAUCACUGGGCGUAAAGCGCACGUAGGCGGCUUGGUAAGUCAGGGGUGAAAUCCCACAGCCCAACUGUGGAACUGCCUUUGAUACUG
This 645-nucleotide ribosomal RNA is filed under the name uncultured bacterium. Its description in RNAcentral is "bacterial SSU rRNA". It matches the Rfam family "Bacterial small subunit ribosomal RNA", at positions 8 to 635 of the family's 1533-position model. The record is from RNAcentral.